UUGUGGUAUUGAUCUCAAUCCUUAAAUUGUCGUGGGAUCUGCUCACCUCAUAAAUGGUAUCCUCUGGGCCGCGAGGGAGACUGGUGUGCCCGGGCAUGAGGGCGGGUAAGAAACCGAAGAUAACCAAGCCACGGAAUUAGGGUAAUGUACAUGUACACCAGUCUCCCAGGUAAGUUCCCAGAUGUUGCCGAAACAUUUGGAGGUGUAUAAUGAAUAACUUCCCCAGAUGCUGAAAGUGAAGCGCCGUUCCGCCAAGAUGCAGAAACAAGCUCUCAAGGCAAAAGGGUUCUUACGUUAGCCUACAACUUCACAAGCCCUGGAGGUGUGUUUUUCUCAAGGAUGAGAAACAAGAAUUAGAGGCAAGAAUUGAAAAUCUAGGUCUGUUGCACAGUCAUUUCCUCAUUAACUAGCCAAUCACACAAGAGAGUUAACGGCGGGAUCUAUUUAUCCCCAGGGAAGCGCUCCCAAAUUAAUUUACGAAACUGGUCUGCGCCGUGACAGGAUUAAGAACUAUAUCUGUUAUAGGCCGCGUUGCAUUCACAAUCCAGGCGCAAUCAAUAACCGCUGGCCACUUACCUGAAACUGUUGCUGUGCUUCAGAGCUAAAAUUAGCUUUUGCGGGCGCCCAGUACCAACCUAAAAUGAGUCUAUUAUGUUAGCUAGAGCAUCCGUUGG
Molecule: small RNA, 674 nt
Filed under: Histoplasma ohiense
Lineage: Eukaryota; Fungi; Ascomycota; Eurotiomycetes; Onygenales; Ajellomycetaceae
Description: hypothetical lncRNA
Source: RNAcentral